UACGGAGGAUGCAAGCGUUAUCCGGAUUUAUUGGGUUUAAAGGGUGCGCAGGUUGUUUGAUAAGUCAGUGGUGAAAGUCUGUCGCUUAACGGUAGGAUUGCCAUUGAUACUGUUGGACUUGAAUAUGGAUGAGGUAGGCGGAAUGUGUAGUGUAGCGGUGAAAUGCAUAGAUAUUACACAGAACACCGAUUGCGAAGGCAGCUUACUAAUCCAUCAUUGACGCUGAGGCACGAAAGCGUGGGGAUCAAACAGGAUUAGAUACCCUGGUAGUCCACGCCGUAAACGAUGAUCACUCGCUGUUUGCGAUAUACAGUAAGCGGCUAAGCGAAAGCGUUAAGUGAUCCACCUGGGGAGUACGAUCGCAAGGUUGAAACUCAAAGGAAUUGACGGGGGCCCGCACAAGCGGAGGAACAUGUGGUUUAAUUCGAUGAUACGCGAGGAACCUUACCUGGGCUUAAAUGGGGGACGACAGCUGCUGAAAGGUGGUUUUCUUCGGACGUUCUUCAAGGUGCUGCAUGGUU
Molecule: ribosomal RNA, 521 nt
Filed under: uncultured bacterium
Lineage: Bacteria
Description: bacterial SSU rRNA
Rfam family: Bacterial small subunit ribosomal RNA
Source: RNAcentral